This is a long non-coding RNA of Manis javanica (Malayan pangolin), 1751 nucleotides long. RefSeq lists it as uncharacterized. Lineage: Eukaryota; Metazoa; Chordata; Mammalia; Pholidota; Manidae. The record is from RefSeq and is a predicted model, not a curated record.
UGCAGUGAACAUCCUGGGAGCUCCAGGCUGAUAAAGGAGGAAUCCGAAGUGUUCCUUGCCCCCCAGGAGCUCACUGUCAGGGCAACGAGACACACCGGCAGGCGGGCUCGCCACCACAGCCUGUGAUGAGCAACCUUGAUUGUUGUAGUCGUGCACCAAGUGCGUCUCGCAAGCUGCUUGUGUGCCAAGAACUGGGGGUGCUCGCCAGCAAGGAGUCCACGUGGAGCAGUGAAAAUGGCUGCAUAGACCUGGGAAAGGCUGCAUUUUGCAGCAGUGGGCCCAGUUCGGACGUGGCAUUCUUGCAGACCUGCUUCUGUGGAGCAGCACAGCCCAAGGGGCCAAGAGGAAACCAGCCAGUUUCUCUUUGACCAGAAUCGGGUCUCUGCCUCCUUUGCCUCAGGGACCCACUUCCUACUUCGGUCCGAGGCCAGAUGACACCCACUCAUUUCGAGAAACGAGCCUCUUACCUAUUUCCCUGUGAAGACGACUGGCAGCUGGACCUGGCAGCUGCGGUCUGUGCCAUCCUGUGCAAAGGGGCGGAAAGGCUGUCCCACCAUGACAUCGAGGCAUCAUCUGGGGGACCCCCCACCUGCUGACCACCCCUCCCCAUCGCCUGGGCCAUGCGGGCACCUCCAGCCUGUCAUUCACACCACUGUCUCUCAUCAGCACUCUCUUUCCUGAAAUAGCAACUCUUGACAACGCCCUGCCUGGAGGCCUGGCCCAGCGCUGGGGUCCCGCCGGGGCCUGAGUCCCAUCGGCCCAGCACAGUUCCCACUCCCUCCCAGUGAAAGGCUGGAGUAGGCUGGCCCCCUGCUGUAGGGGCAGGCUGGCAGUCUGGCCCUCGCAGGACUUCAAGGGGCCUCUCUGCGGGGGAUCCCAGGGGGCUACACCCCUGGUGGCCUCAGACCCUUGUGAUCGGACAUUGACGUCCCAAACUCACAAGAUGUCCAAGUUGCAAGGACUCCCAACCUUUGCUCAGCCCAUGUGGCAGCUGAGGUCUGGGGUGGGUGUGUGAGCCGGCAGGGACCACCGGAGCUGCUGUAGACAUGGGACAUCUCUGGGUGGGUAUGUUGAGGGGCUGGUCCAUCCCCUGACAGCAGAGGUAGCCGCUGAAGGGGCUGGUACCUCCCUCCAGGAGGCUGGUGGGAGGCGAUGGACACCGUCUUGGUGGGUCUGGAGGUCUCAGACCAAAAUAUCUGCCAUUUUCCUGGAGGAGCCGUAGGGCAUGGGGCCCCUGCCCAGAGGGGGGCUAUGGCCUUGGCUACUCUGGGGCCUUGUCUGCCAGCUCUGUCCUCUCCAGCCCCAGGCCCUUGGGCACCCAGGAUGGCCACUGGGGGGCAGUGCGAGCCAGCACACCUGGCAGGGAUCCACCCAGAGGCCCGGCCCAGCCAGCUCUGCCCAGGAGGGAAGCAGCCUAAGCCAGUGAGGGGCCCUGCCGUGGUCAGCUCUGCAGCCAGGUCCCUGGCUGCCCUGCCCCAGUGGGCUUUGGAGCCAGGGCCCCGCACGGGUGCUGGGGAUUUUCCUACUGUUAUGACCAUAGGCCCUCCUCAUAGAGGCACACACACACGGCCACACGCGCUUUGCACACACGCAGCUGAGGUGGGCUGCAGAGGCACCAAAGACCUUCUUGGGAAUGCAGGGACUGGCUUUUCCUUCUCCGUCUCCCCCUGCAGGCAGCCCCGCUGGGGUCCCGCGCAGGCCCUACUGCUUGAGGGGCCACCCGCUUGCGUCGGCCUUUCCUCAGGCCCCCC